Molecule: ribosomal RNA, 450 nt
Filed under: uncultured bacterium
Lineage: Bacteria
Description: bacterial SSU rRNA
Rfam family: Bacterial small subunit ribosomal RNA
Source: RNAcentral
CGGCGGACGGGUGAGUAACGCGUGGGUAACCUGCCCUAAAGCCCGGGAUAACACCGGGAAACUGGUGCUAACACCGGAUACCUUCCGAAGAGGGCAUCCUUUUUGGAAGAAAGGUUAACGCUUUAGGAUGGGCCCGCGUCCCAUUAGCUAGUUGGUGAGGUAACGGCUCACCAAGGCAGUGAUGGGUAGCCGGCCUGAGAGGGUGGACGGCCACACUGGGACUGAGACACGGCCCAGACUCCUACGGGAGGCAGCAGUAGGGAAUAUUGCGCAAUGGGCGAAAGCCUGACGCAGCGACGCCGCGUGGGUGAUGAAGGCCUUCGGGUUGUAAAACCCUGUCCUUGGGGAAGAGGAAAGUGACGGUACCCAAGGAGGAAGCCCCGGCUAACUACGUGCCAGCAGCCGCGGUAAAACGUAGGGGGCGAGCGUUGCCCGGAAUUACUGGGCGUA